RNAcentral lists this ribosomal RNA (683 nucleotides) under Reticulitermes speratus. RNAcentral's name for it is "partial 16S ribosomal RNA". The stretch from base 342 to 504 matches the Rfam family "Archaeal large subunit ribosomal RNA", at positions 1883 to 2090 of the family's 2987-position model. The record is from RNAcentral. Lineage: Eukaryota; Metazoa; Arthropoda; Insecta; Blattodea; Rhinotermitidae.
UUAGGGGUUUCUGGUUUUUCAAGAAAUGAAUUUAAUUCAUGCGUCUUAUUUAGAGUUUUAUUAUUUGUUUAUUUAUUUUUAUUUGGCGUUAAGAUUGGGGGGGAUUAGCUUCUUAUUUUAUUUUUAUAAUUUUUUGUUUAUUUAGUCUUGUGGGUUUUAUAGUGAUUUUCAAUUUGAUUAUGUUAAAAUUUUAUUUGUUUUGUUCUUUAUUUUUAUUUAUUUAAUUAUUUAUUGAAAUGUAUUCUUUAUUUUGUUUUGGUUAGUAAUUAUUGUAGAAUUAGUAAAUUUGUUGUUAGGUUGUUUUAUUUGUGUUAAUUUUCUUUGAGGAACUAGGCAAAUUUCAUGCCCGCCUGUUUAACAAAAACAUCUUUUCUCGUUAGUUUUUGAAGUAUGGCCUGCCCACUGACUUUGGUGUUGAAGGGCCGCGGUAUUUUGACCGUGCAAAGGUAGCAUAGUCAUUAGUUCUUUAAUUGUGAUCUGGUAUGAAUGGCUUGACGAGGCAUGGGCUGUCUUAAUUUUGAAUUGUUUAUUGAAUUUGGUCUUUGAGUUAAAAUUCUUAGAUGUUUUUAUGGGACGAGAAGACCCUAUAGAGUUUAACAUUUGUUAUGGUCCAUUUCUGUUUGUGAGGGUUCACUGGGCCGUCUAAUAUGUUUUGUUGGGGUGAUGGGAGGGAUAUAAUUUAA